RNAcentral lists this long non-coding RNA (692 nucleotides) under Sorghum bicolor (sorghum). RNAcentral's name for it is "long non-coding RNA (SBIC_LNC008879)". Lineage: Eukaryota; Viridiplantae; Streptophyta; Magnoliopsida; Poales; Poaceae. The record is from RNAcentral.
AACAGCCAGUGGAAAUUGUGGAUGCCAAGGAACGAGUAACCCGAAACAAAGUCGUCAGAACCUACAAGGUGGUGUGGAGUCAUCAUGACGAUCGGGAUGCCACCUGGGAAACUGAGGAUUAUCUCAAAACAGUUUAUCCAAAAUUUCAUAAGAAAUGGUUAGUAACCCAAAUCUCGGGACGAGAUUUCCCUAAGGGGGGAAGGGCUGUAACACCCUAGGUGUUAAGCAUGCACUUGGCACUUAUCAAAGCAAUGCAUGAGCAUUCUCAUCAAGCAUAGCAUCAUGAGCAUGUCAUUCAUCCCAAAAUAUGAUUUUAUGUGCUUUAUUACAUGUGCUUUAAAUAUGCUAAAAAUAUGAUGCUUGCUUGUAAAAUUAUGAAAUAUUCAAAAUAGGUUGAUUUAUGGGUAAGAAGAAUUAAGAAUAUUUUUGUGCAAUUUUUGGAGCUAUAGAAUUUGAGAAAUGGAAUUUAUACAAAAUUCCCAAAAUGAAUUUAUUUAAAAACCUAGAACUAGUUUUAAUUUGUAAUUCAAAUUCUAUUGGGAAUUUGGUCUUGCUUAUUAAAACAAAGUUGUAGGGUUUUUGUUUUAGAACAAUGUUGCUUUUGGGAGCAAGAGGUGAAAAUGAAUUUAAAUUGGUCCAAAUGAAUUUAGAAAAUAAUUUGAGAAAAGAAAAUAAAAAAAAUGGAAAAGGGG